AUUUGAUGAUGUGGACAUAGUAUUUGUAAAUCCCUAAAUCUUUCCCAAGCUUCAAAGAAUUCCUCCGUAUGCUUUUGUCUAAAAGUUUGGAUCUUGUUUCUUAACU
This 106-nucleotide small nucleolar RNA is filed under the name Thalictrum thalictroides. RNAcentral's name for it is "Plant small nucleolar RNA R71". It matches the Rfam family "Plant small nucleolar RNA R71". Rfam says of the family: R71 is a member of the C/D box family of snoRNAs containing the C (UGAUGA) and D (CUGA) box motifs. Multiple nearly identical copies of this snoRNA have been identified in Arabidopsis, and it is thought to function as a 2'-O-ribose methylation guide for 18S ribosomal RNA. Lineage: Eukaryota; Viridiplantae; Streptophyta; Magnoliopsida; Ranunculales; Ranunculaceae. The record is from Rfam by way of RNAcentral.